GAGUUUGAUCCUGGCUCAGGAUGAACGCUGGCGGCGUGCUUAACACAUGCAAGUCGAACGGGAAUUACUUUAUUGAAACUUCGGUCGAUUUAAUUUAAUUCUAGUGGCGGACGGGUGAGUAACGCGUGGGUAACCUGCCUUAUACAGGGGGAUAACAGUCAGAAAUGGCUGCUAAUACCGCAUAAGCGCACAGAGCUGCAUGGCUCAGUGUGAAAAACUCCGGUGGUAUAAGAUGGACCCGCGUUGGAUUAGCUUGUUGGUGGGGUAACGGCCCACCAAGGCGACGAUCCAUAGCCGGCCUGAGAGGGUGAACGGCCACAUUGGGACUGAGACACGGCCCAGACUCCUACGGGAGGCAGCAGUGGGGAAUAUUGCACAAUGGGGGAAACCCUGAUGCAGCGACGCCGCGUGAAGGAAGAAGUAUCUCGGUAUGUAAACUUCUAUCAGCAGGGAAGAUAGUGACGGUACCUGACUAAGAAGCCCCGGCUAACUACGUGCCAGCCGCCGCGGUAAUUC
RNAcentral lists this ribosomal RNA (516 nucleotides) under uncultured bacterium. RNAcentral's name for it is "bacterial SSU rRNA". It matches the Rfam family "Bacterial small subunit ribosomal RNA", at positions 9 to 526 of the family's 1533-position model. The record is from RNAcentral.